GACGAACGCUGGCGGCGUGCUUAACACAUGCAAGUCGAACGGAAAGGCCCUGCUUUUGUGGGGUGCUCGAGUGGCGAACGGGUGAGUAACACGUGAGUAACCUGCCCUUGACUUUGGGAUAACUUCAGGAAACUGGGGCUAAUACCGGAUAGGAGCUCCUGCUGCCUGGUGGGGGUUGGAAAGUUUCGGCGGUUGGGGAUGGACUCGCGGCUUAUCAGCUUGUUGGUGGGGUAGUGGCUUACCAAGGCUUUGACGGGUAGCCGGCCUGAGAGGGUGACCGGCCACAUUGGGACUGAGAUACGGCCCAGACUCCUACGGGAGGCAGCAGUGGGGAAUAUUGCACAAUGAGCGGAAGCCUGAUGCAGCAACGCCGCGUGCGGGAUGACGGCCUUCGGGUUGUAAACCGCUUUCGCCUGUGACGAAGCGUGAGUGACGGUAAUGGGUAAAGAAGCACCGGCUAACUACGUG
Molecule: ribosomal RNA, 468 nt
Filed under: uncultured bacterium
Lineage: Bacteria
Description: partial 16S ribosomal RNA
Rfam family: Bacterial small subunit ribosomal RNA
Source: RNAcentral